This 335-nucleotide ribosomal RNA is filed under the name uncultured Planctomycetales bacterium. RNAcentral describes it as "bacterial SSU rRNA". It matches the Rfam family "Bacterial small subunit ribosomal RNA", at positions 473 to 806 of the family's 1533-position model. The record is from RNAcentral. Lineage: Bacteria; Pseudomonadati; Planctomycetota; Planctomycetia; Planctomycetales.
CAAAGGCCCCAAAGGAAGCCACGGCUAACUCUGUGCCAGCAGCCGCGGUAAUACAGAGGUGGCAAGCGUUGUUCGGUAUUAUUGGGCGUAAAGAGCACGUAGGUGGUUCUGUAAGUCAGAUGUGAAAGCCUUUUGUUCAAAGGAAGAACGGCAUCUGAAACUACAGAUCUUGAGUGUAGGAGGGGAGAGUGGAACUUCUGGUGGAGCGGUGAAAUGCGUGGAUAUCAGAAGGAACGUCGGCGGCGAAAGCGACUCUCUGGCCUAUUACUGACACUGAGUGUGCGAAAGUUAGGGGAGCAAACGGGAUUAGAUACCCCGGUAGUCCUAACUGUAAA